AGCGAACGCUGGCGGUAGGCUUAACACAUGCAAGUCGAACGGCAGCACAGUAUCAGCUUGCCCUUACGGGUGGCGAGUGGCGGACGGGUGAGGAAAACAUCGGAAUACAUUUUUUUGUGGGGGAUAACGUAGGGAAACUAACGCUAAUACCGCAUACCACCUACGGGUGAAAGCAGAGGCUCCUCCGACCUUGCGUGAUCGAAUGAGCCGGUGUCGGAUUAGCUAGUUAGCGGGGUAAAGGCCCACCAAGGCGACGACCCUUAGCUGGUCUGAGAGGAUGAACAGGGACACUGGAGCUGAGACACGAUCCUGGCUCCUACGUGAGGCAGCGAUGCGGAAGAGUGGAAGAUGGGGGCAAGCUUGAUCCAGCCGUACCACGUUGGUGAAGAAGGCCUUCGGGUUGGAAAGCCGCUUUGUGGUGGAAGAAAAGCAGCAGGAUGAUACCCCCCUGUUCUGACGGUACCCGAAGAAUAAGCACCGGCUAACUUCGUG
This 492-nucleotide ribosomal RNA is filed under the name uncultured bacterium. Its description in RNAcentral is "partial 16S ribosomal RNA". It matches the Rfam family "Bacterial small subunit ribosomal RNA", at positions 29 to 507 of the family's 1533-position model. The record is from RNAcentral.